Molecule: RNA transcript, 2230 nt
Organism: Gadus morhua (Atlantic cod)
Lineage: Eukaryota; Metazoa; Chordata; Actinopteri; Gadiformes; Gadidae
Gene name: heterogeneous nuclear ribonucleoprotein D0
Exons: 9
Source: RefSeq, a predicted model, not a curated record
UGCAGUUGUACAACAGUGUCGGUCAAAUUUGCCAGAGAUUCAUUUAUUUUAUUAGUUGAUAUAUAUACCUAUCUGGAUAACUUUGUUUGAAAUCAUCCCAAUCCCAUCUAAAUACAAUUUAGAAGGGAGGCAUCUAGGACAUAUUUUGCAAAAUAAUGUGGAGCAUAAUUGUAAUAUAUAAUAAUAAUAAUAAUUGAUAAAUACUUAUUAAUUAUACUUAUGAUAUGACUAUAAGCAAAACACAUAAGUGACAAUUGCUGAUAGUCGGUUUUUUAAGAAAGUAAUUCGCAUUUUUAAGCGAAUGUCUGAAAAUACAAAGGAUUGUACCCCUGAACCACCAGGGGGCGGUGACGGACCUGAAAGUUUAGAAUCAUCAACUGACGGCAGCUGAGGAAGAGGAGAGAAGAGGAAAACCUUACGGAUAAUAUGGUAGUUGAGUUCCAGUUUCCUAAUUAUAUUAAAUAUCAGCUUCUAAAUAAGAAAACCUAUUUUUAACAGCUCCGUCUUUUAAACGUACAAAACCAUUAACCGACAACCGCAGCAUAUUGUCAGGUCCCUAAUUUUGCUAACUUGAGCCACAAGGAGCGACAGUCUUUAUUAGUCGUUAUCCUAAAUAACAGAGGCGGUUCUUCAUCACCGAGGACAACCACAGCCUGUCAUGUCGGAGGACCUUGAAUUCGGAGAUGACCCGACCAUGAUGACCAUGGAGGAAGAUGGAGAGGCGAGCAACGACGAAGCAAUGUCUGCCACGGCUGACAGUGGCCUAGCAGGGGCCGAGUCCGAGGGAUCAAAAAUUGAUGCCAGCAAAAACGAAGAGGACCAAGGGAAGAUGUUUGUGGGGGGGCUGAGCUGGGACACCACCAAGAAAGACCUGAAGGAUUACUUCUCCAAGUUCGGAGAGGUGGUGGACUGCACUCUGAAGCUGGACCCUAUGACCGGCCGCUCCAGGGGCUUCGGCUUCGUGCUGUUCAAGGAGGCGGACAGUGUUGACAAGGUGGUCACACAGAAGGAUCAUAAACUUAACGGGAAGGUGAUCGACCCCAAGAAGGCCAAAGCCAUGAAGAGCAAGGAGCCGAUCAGGAAGGUCUUUGUGGGCGGUCUCUCUCCCGACACCCCAGAGGAGAAACUCAGGGAGUACUUUGGUGCUUUUGGAGAGGUGGAGGCCGUAGAGCUGCCGAUGGAGAACAAGACCAACAAGCGGAGAGGUUUCUGCUUCAUCACGUUCAAAGAGGAGGAGACGGUGAAGCAGAUCAUGGAGAAGAAGUACCACAACAUCGGCCUCAGCAAGUGUGAGAUCAAGGUGGCGAUGUCAAAGGAGCAGUACCAGCAGCAGCAGCACUGGGGGGGCCGAGGGGGCUACGGCUCCCGACCUCGGGGAAGAGGGGGACCCAGUCAACACUGGGACCAGGACUACGACAACUAUGGCAACCAAGGGUACGGAAACUACGGUAACUACGGCUACAACAAUCAGGGCUACGGCGGCUACGGCGGAGGAUACGACUACUCGGGCUACAACAACUACUACGGCGGAUACGGUGACUACGACAAUCCGGAGGGCGGAUACGGCAAGUCGCCGCGACGAGGCGGCCACCAGAACAGCUACAAACCGUAUUAACGCCACGGCACGGCCACACCUGUUCCAAGAAGCGGACAUUCCUUGCAGGCGAACCAGCUCCACCCCCAGAUACUCUGUGCCCGCUCAGUGCGGACGGGGUACGAGAGGCAUAGGCUCUCGAAUGCCGCCAUUUGGCUUCAAGAUGGCGGUAGAAGAAGAAUCUGCGCGGGGGGGCAACGGAUGGCGUGUGGUGUUGAGGAGGCACAAGAAUCCAGUCAGAGGUUUUCAGUCCAUUGUUUUUAAUUCAGAGGUGGUCCUCCAAUCACAUCAUUUUAUCACUAUCCUUAUUUUAUUCUAUUCGUCAAAGAUUUGACUUUUUUGCUGGGUUUUUGUGCGCAAAAAACAGGAUUACUAAGAAAGACACCACUUUCCUUUUCAAGUGAUCAACUUUUUGCAUCAACCAGUUCUUAAUGGCAGUAUGUACUGGAUAAGCUAAGCCAAUAAGAUAUUAUUGAUUUUUGUGCUGGGAAACAUUCAAUCAGUUACCUGCCAUCGUAGUCCUCAUUGUAGUUAUAAUAAUAUAUACAUUGUUACAGAUUUAAGCAGUAUUUGUUUACUUAUAUACAGUGGAAUGGACACAAACAUAACACGUGGAAUAAUAAAAAAUAAAUACAA